This 257-nucleotide ribosomal RNA is filed under the name uncultured bacterium. Its description in RNAcentral is "partial 16S ribosomal RNA". It matches the Rfam family "Bacterial small subunit ribosomal RNA", at positions 526 to 779 of the family's 1533-position model. The record is from RNAcentral.
CAGAGGGUGCAAGCGUUAAUCGGAAUUACUGGGCGUAAAGCGCGCGUAGGUGGUUCGUUAAGUUGGAUGUGAAAUCCCCGGGCGUCAACCUGGGAACGUGCAUUCAAAACUAGUCGAGCUAGAGUAUGGUAGAGGGUGGUGGAAUUUCCUGUGUAGCGGUGAAAUGCGUAGAUAUAGGAAGGAACACCAGUGGCGAAGGCGACCACCUGGACUGAUACUGACACUGAGGUGCGAAAGCGUGGGGAGCAAACAGGAUU